AGUGGACGCUGGCGGUAGGCCUAACACAUGCAAGUCGAACGGCAGCACAGUAAGAGCUUGCUCUUACGGGUGGCGAGUGGCGGACGGGUGAGGAAUACAUCGGAAUCUACUUUUUCGUGGGGGAUAACGUAGGGAAACUUACGCUAAUACCGCAUACGACCUACGGGUGAAAGCAGGGGAUCUUCGGACCUUGCGCGAUUGAAUGAGCCGACGUCGGAUUAGCUAGUUGGCGGGGUAAAGGCCCACUAAGGCGACGAUCCGUAGCUGGUCUGAGAGGAUGAUAGGCCACAUGGGAGGUGAGACACGGUCCAGGCGCCUGAGGGAGGCAGCAGUCGGGAAUGGGGGACAAUGGGCGCAAGCCUGAUCCAGCCAUACCGCGUGGGUGAAGAAGGCCUUCGGGUUGUGAAGCCCGUUUGUUGGGAAAGAAAAGCAGCAGGUUAAGACCCCGCUGGUCUGACGGUACCCAAAGAAUAAGCACCGGCUAACUUCGUG
Molecule: ribosomal RNA, 492 nt
Filed under: uncultured bacterium
Lineage: Bacteria
Description: partial 16S ribosomal RNA
Rfam family: Bacterial small subunit ribosomal RNA
Source: RNAcentral